Molecule: ribosomal RNA, 486 nt
Filed under: uncultured bacterium
Lineage: Bacteria
Description: partial 16S ribosomal RNA
Rfam family: Bacterial small subunit ribosomal RNA
Source: RNAcentral
AUUGAACGCUGGCGGCAUGCCUUACACAUGCCAGUCGAACGGCAGCACGGGUGCUUGCACCUGGUGGCGAGUGGCGAACGGGUGAGGAAUACAUCGGAACAUGUCCUGUAGUGGGGGAUAGCCCGGCGAAAGCCGGAUUAAUACCGCAUACGAUCUACGGAUGAAAGCGGGGGACCUUCGGGCCUCGCGCUAUAGGGUUGGCCGAUGGCUGAUUAGCUAGUUGGUGGGGUAAAGGCCUACCAAGGCGACGAUCAGUAGCUGGUCUGAGAGGACGACCAGCCACACUGGGGCUGAGACACGGCCCAGACUCCUACGGGAGGCAGCAGUGGGGAAUUUUGGACAAUGGGCGAAAGCCUGAUCCAGCAAUGCCGCGUGUGUGAAGAAGGCCUUCGGGUUGUAAAGCACUUUUGUCCGGAAAGAAAUCCUUGGCCCUAAUACGGUCGGGGGAUGACGGUACCGGAAGAAUAAGCACCGGCUAACUACGUG